CAAGUCGAACGAGAAAGGGUAGCAAUACCUGAGUAAAGUGGCGCACGGGUGAGUAACACGUGACUAACCUACCCUGGAGUGGGGGAUAACUGAGGGAAACCUUAGCUAAUACCGCAUAACACCUACGGGUCAAAGGAGCAAUUCGCUUCAGGAGGGGGUCGCGGCCGAUUAGUUAGUUGGCGGGGUAAUGGCCCACCAAGACAGUGAUCGGUAUCCGGCCUGAGAGGGCGCACGGACACACUGGAACUGAAACACGGUCCAGACUCCUACGGGAGGCAGCAGUGGGGAAUUUUGCGCAAUGGGGGGAACCCUGACGCAGCAACGCCGCGUGGAGGAUGAAGUACUUCGGUACGUAAACUCCUUUCGAUCGGGACGAUUAUGACGGUACCGGAAGAAGAAGCCCCGGCUAACUUCGUGCCAGCAGCCGCGGUAAUACGAGGGGGGCAAGCGUUGUUCGGAAUUAUUGGGCGUAAAGGGUGCGUAGGCGGUUUUGUAAGUCUUGUGUGAAAUCUUCAGGCUCAACUUGAAGACUGCACGAGAAACUGCAGGGCUUGAGUGUGGGAGAGGUGAGUGGAAUUCCUGGUGUAGCGGUGAAAUGCGUAGAUAUCAGGAGGAACACCUGUGGCGAAAGCGGCUCACUGGACCACAACUGACGCUGAUGCACGAAAGCUAGGGGAGCAAACAGGAUUAGAUACCCUGGUAGUCCUAGCCCUAAACGAUGACUGCUUGGUGUGACGGGUACCCAAUCCCGCCGUGCCGUAGCUAACGCGUUAAGCAGUCCGCCUGGGGAGUACGGUCGCAAGGCUGAAACUCAAAGGAAUUGACGGGGGCCCGCACAAGCGGUGGAGCAUGUGGUUUAAUUCGACGCACCGCGAAGAACCUUACCUGGGCUCGAAAUGGAGUGGAACCGGAGUAGAAAUAUUCCUUCCC
Molecule: ribosomal RNA, 930 nt
Filed under: uncultured Pseudomonadota bacterium
Lineage: Bacteria; Pseudomonadati; Pseudomonadota
Description: bacterial SSU rRNA
Rfam family: Bacterial small subunit ribosomal RNA
Source: RNAcentral